This 24-nucleotide microRNA is filed under the name Oryza sativa (Asian cultivated rice). Its description in RNAcentral is "osa-miR2871a-5p". The record is from miRBase by way of RNAcentral. Lineage: Eukaryota; Viridiplantae; Streptophyta; Magnoliopsida; Poales; Poaceae. RNAcentral also lists the same sequence under 1 other name.
GACCGUAGAAACUAGCAUAGAAAA